UAUUGCGCAAUGGGGGAAACCCUGACGCAGCGACGCCGCGUGUGCGAUGAAGGCCUUCGGGUUGUAAAGCACUUUUGGCAGGGAAGAAAAGGCGCAGGCUAAUACCCUGUGCUGCUGACGGUACCUGCAGAAUAAGCACCGGCUAACUACGUUCCAGCAGCCGCGGUAAUACGUAGGGUGCAAGCGUUAAUCGGAAUUACUGGGCGUAAAGCGUGCGCAGGCGGUUCGGAAAGAAGGAUGUGAAAUCCCGAGACUUAACCUCGGAACUGCAUUCUUAACUGCCGGGCUAGAGUAUGUCAGAGGGGGGUAGAAUUCCACGUGUAGCAGUGAAAUGCGUAGAGAUGUGGAGGAAUACCGAUGGCGAAGGCAGCCCCCUGGGAUAAUACUGACGCUCAUGCACGAAAGCGUGGGGAGCAAAC
This 419-nucleotide ribosomal RNA is filed under the name uncultured bacterium. Its description in RNAcentral is "partial 16S ribosomal RNA". It matches the Rfam family "Bacterial small subunit ribosomal RNA", at positions 362 to 773 of the family's 1533-position model. The record is from RNAcentral.